CCAGGCUUGAAUGGUCCGCUGCUUGGAUCUCUUACUUUUACAAGGAGUCAGACCCGGUUAGUACUUGGAUGGGAGACCUCCAAGGAAAACACAGAUGCUAGCCUGCA
This 107-nucleotide ribosomal RNA is filed under the name Crocodylus porosus (Australian saltwater crocodile). Lineage: Eukaryota; Metazoa; Chordata; Crocodylia; Crocodylidae. The record is from RNAcentral.